Molecule: ribosomal RNA, 389 nt
Filed under: uncultured microorganism
Description: bacterial SSU rRNA
Rfam family: Archaeal small subunit ribosomal RNA
Source: RNAcentral
GUGCAGCAGGCGCGAAAACUUCACACUGUGCGAAAGCACGAUGAGGGAAUCCCAAGUGCUUGCACGUAAGUGUAAGCUGUUUCUCUGUCUAAAACGCAGAGAGAGUAAGGGCUGGGUAAGACGGGUGCCAGCCGCCGCGGUAAUACCUGCAGCUCAAGUGGUGACCGUUAUUAUUGGGCCUAAAACGUCCGUAGCCGGUUUAAUAAAUGCCUGGGUAAAUUGUGUAGCUUAACUAUACGAAUUCCGGGUAGACUGUUAAACUUGAGACCGGGAGAAGUUAGAGGUACUCCUGGGGUAGAGGUGAAAUUCUGUAAUCCUAGGGGGACCACCAGUGGCGAAGGCGUCUAACUAGAACGGGUCUGACGGUGAGGGACGAAGCCCUGGGGCGC